This 327-nucleotide RNase P RNA is filed under the name bovine gut metagenome. RNAcentral's name for it is "Bacterial RNase P class B". It matches the Rfam family "Bacterial RNase P class B". From Rfam's summary of the family: Ribonuclease P (RNase P) is a ubiquitous endoribonuclease, found in archaea, bacteria and eukarya as well as chloroplasts and mitochondria. Its best characterised activity is the generation of mature 5'-ends of tRNAs by cleaving the 5'-leader elements of precursor-tRNAs. The record is from RNAcentral.
UUAGACAAACGCUGCAUAUAUUAUAUGUAGAGGAAAGUCCAUGCUCACUCAUCCUGGAAUGGAUGAAAGUGUUCGUGCUAAGGGAAAAAAUAACCUUAGGUAGCAUUGCUAACGGCAUCGAAAUAGUCAAGACCUGACUAAAGUAGAUAUAAAAGUGCCAUAGAGACGAGACUAUUAGGGAUAAUAGUUGUGGAACGAGGUAAACCCCACGAGUGAGAAACCCAAAUUUGGUAGGGGAACUCUUACGAAUGAAUAAUAAAGGAGUAAGGGAAGGAGAAAUCCUUAGAUAAAUGUUUGUCACCUUUUAGGUACAGAACAUGGCUUAUU